Molecule: ribosomal RNA, 1259 nt
Filed under: bacterium CSMRI-1014
Lineage: Bacteria
Description: partial 16S ribosomal RNA
Rfam family: Bacterial small subunit ribosomal RNA
Source: RNAcentral
GCCCCUAGGUGUAGAGAAUUAUAAGGAAGUUGGAGGUAAACGCCUCACCCAGCACGAUUCCAAGCGUGUUGAGAGGCAUGAUUCAGGCCACAUGGACUGAACACGUUCAGACUCCUACCGGAGGCAGCAGUGGGAAUAUUGCACAUGGGGAAACCUGAUGCAGCAUGCGCGUGUGUGAGAGCUCGGGUGUAAAGCACUUUCAGUCGUGAGAAGCAUAUGCGUAUAGCGCAUGUGUUGACGUUAGCGACAGAGAGCACGGCUACUCCGUGCCAGCAGCCGCGGUAAUACGGAGGGUGCGAGCGUUAAUCGGAAUUACUGGGCGUAAAGCGCAUGCAGGCGGCUUGUUAAGCCAGAUGUGAAAGCCCGGGGCUCAACCUCGGAAUAGCAUUUGGAACUGGCAGGCUAGAGUCUUGUAGAGGGGGGUAGAAUUUCAGGUGUAGCGGUGAAAUGCGUAGAGAUCUGAAGGAAUACCGGUGGCGAAGGCGGCCCCCUGGACAAAGACUGACGCUCAGAUGCGAAAGCGUGGGGAGCAAACAGGAUUAGAUACCCUGGUAGUCCACGCCGUAAACGAUGUCUACUUGGAGGUUGGUGUCUUGAACACUGGCUUUCGGAGCUAACGCGUUAAGUAGACCGCCUGGGGAGUACGGUCGCAAGAUUAAAACUCAAAUGAAUUGACGGGGGCCCGCACAAGCGGUGGAGCAUGUGGUUUAAUUCGAUGCAACGCGAAGAACCUUACCUACUCUUGACAUCCAGAGAACUUUCCAGAGAUGGAUUGGUGCCUUCGGGAACUCUGAGACAGGUGCUGCAUGGCUGUCGUCAGCUCGUGUUGUGAAAUGUUGGGUUAAGUCCCGCAACGAGCGCAACCCCUUUCCUUGUUUGCCAGCACGUACUGGUGGGAACUCCAGGGAGACUCCCCGUGAUAAACCGGAGGAAGGUGGGGAGGACGUCAAGUCAUCAUGGCCCUUACGAGUAGGGCUACACACGUGCUACAAUGGCGUAUACCGAGGGCGGCCAACCGGCGAGAGUGAGCGAAUCCCAGAAAAUACGUCGUAGUCCGGAUUGGAGUCUGCAACUCGACUCCCUGAACUGGGCAUCGCUGGUCAUCGUGGAUCAGAAUGCCACGGUGAAUACGUUCCCCGCCCUUGUACACACCACCCUUCACACCAUCGGAGUGGGUUCCACCAGAAGUAGCGACCUUAGCUUUCCCUCCUGUGUCAGCACCCGGCGCCUCGCGCACGGCGGAACCACGCCCAUAAAGG